AUUCAGUCGAUAUGCGGGGACGUGCGUGGUCGAUUACUUAAGCAGACGGCUCCCAAAUGCGGGUCGGUUCGACUGCACGUUCCCUGCCGUUCGACGCAUUUGAUUCCCGCCCGAAGGACGCCGCAACCGGUUGGGUAGUUGUGAACACGACGGCCUGUGGGGCGGAAGACGGCAGGUGGCCGGCGUCGGGGCCUCGGUCCCGUCCGCCGGUUGUUAGCCAUUCCGUCCGUGGCACGUCACCCGACCGUGGUGAAAAGGGCCUUUUUGGGCCCUACCGCCUCCUCCUCCGGACGGAGGUGACGGGCAUGGGCGCGGCAGAUGCAUUCAGACGGCGUUGACGCACGCACUCACGGCGUGGUCGUGUCCGUCUGCGUCUUUGCUGGCCGCGUGGGUCCCGUCGGAGUGUCGGCGGUUGGCGGCGAGUAGAUCGGUCACCCACCCGACCCGGUCUUGAAACACGGACCAAGGAGUCUAACAUGUGUGCGAGUCAAUGGGUCUCGAAUAAGCCCAGAGGCGCAAUGAAAGCAAAGGCCGACCUUGACGUCGGCCGUGUUGGGAUCCUCCCCCCAUCGCGGCGGGAGGCGCACCAACGACCCGUCCUCUCCGAUUUAUCGGUUGGGCGGAGUCUGAGCAUACACGUUGGGACCCGAAAGAUGGUGAACUAUGCCCGGGCAGGACGAGGUCAGAGGAAACUCUGAUGGAGGUCCGCAGCGGUUCUGACGUGCAAAU
This 729-nucleotide ribosomal RNA is filed under the name Megadictyna thilenii. RNAcentral describes it as "eukaryotic LSU rRNA". The stretch from base 462 to 729 matches the Rfam family "Eukaryotic large subunit ribosomal RNA", at positions 665 to 898 of the family's 3401-position model. Lineage: Eukaryota; Metazoa; Arthropoda; Arachnida; Araneae; Nicodamidae. The record is from RNAcentral.